CCUACGGGGGGCAGCAGUGGGGAAUAUUGCACAAUGGGGGAAACCCUGAUGCAGCGACGCCGCGUGAGUGAAGAAGUAAUUCGGUACGUAAAGCUCUAUCAGCAGGGAAGAAAAUGACGGUACCUGAGGAAGAAGCCCCGGCUAACUACGUGCCAGCAGCCGCGGUAACACGUAGGGGGCAAGCGUUAUCCGGAUUUACUGGGUGUAAAGGGAGCGUAGACGGUGCGCCAAGUCUGGAGUGAAAUGCCGCAGCUUAACUGCGGAACUGCUUUGGAAACUGGCGAACUAGAGUGCAGGAGGGGUAAGCGGAAUUCGUGGUGUAGCGGUGAAAUGCGUAGAUAUUAGGAGGAACACCGGUGGCGAAGGCGGCUUACUGGACCGUAACUGACGUUGAGGCUCGAAAGCGUGGGGAGCAAACAGGAUUAGAUACCCCUGUAGUC
RNAcentral lists this ribosomal RNA (440 nucleotides) under uncultured bacterium. RNAcentral describes it as "partial 16S ribosomal RNA". It matches the Rfam family "Bacterial small subunit ribosomal RNA", at positions 338 to 795 of the family's 1533-position model. The record is from RNAcentral.